AUGAUAGGGGUGGGGGUAGUAGCCUGCGCCUGUGGCUCCAUGGGGGUUCCACUGCCACUGCCAUUCCCCGGUCGUUGGCUGCGGCCUGCGGAUGGAGAUGGUGAUCACCUGCCCGCCGCUGAUCCGGCUCCCUGUCUAGACGGCGGUGCUGUGGUCGGACAUCACCACCACCUUGCGGACAUGGCCGACCCGAGUGCGGAGGCGGUCGAGGUUGACGCGCUGGGGGGCCGUCGUCAUCCCCCGCGCAAGAGGGUUCAUCAGCGAGCACGAGAACCCUUUGGCGUUGUGCACGAGGAAGAGCGUGCUGCCGGUGGAGACGCGGUGCGCGAGAUUUUCGUCCAGGGCGAGGCCGCGGCGGUGGACCUCGCCGUCGGAGAGGCUGAGGAAGGAGCCGUCGCGGAGGGCGAGCCACGGGAGCAGCGGCGGCUGCAGGCGCGCGCCGGAGCGCCACUGGCGGCAGACGGCGCCGAGGCGGACGCGGUCGGCGUGGGACAGCACGCGCUGGAGCACGAGGCCCAGCAGCUCCGACGGGAGGUCCUGCCAUGGAGGACGGCGUCCGCCGAGAUUCGUCGCCGCAACUCCCUCCAUCGUAGAUCUGAUCGUCAAGCAAAGCUAUUGGCUAUGAUGCCCAAAAUUUGCAUCUCCGGCCGUUUCACGGUUCAGGCCCAGCUUGCAGAACACGGCAUUCUAGUCAACCUGUGUGUCCAACUUAUAUCUGUCUACUUUAUCUUAAAAAAAACUUAUCUGCCUACCAGGUUAAAAACCACUCAAAAAAAGUCUACUAGGUAA
Molecule: ribosomal RNA, 789 nt
Filed under: Triticum aestivum (bread wheat)
Lineage: Eukaryota; Viridiplantae; Streptophyta; Magnoliopsida; Poales; Poaceae
Description: partial small subunit ribosomal RNA
Source: RNAcentral